Molecule: ribosomal RNA, 448 nt
Filed under: Plocamopherus pecoso
Lineage: Eukaryota; Metazoa; Mollusca; Gastropoda; Nudibranchia; Polyceridae
Description: partial 16S ribosomal RNA
Rfam family: Archaeal large subunit ribosomal RNA
Source: RNAcentral
AGCCUUAGGAUAUCAUCUAAGGUCAGACCUGCCCAAUGUAAAUUACAAAUGAAUGGCCGCGGUACUUUGACCGUGCUAAGGUAGCGCAAUCAAUUGGCUUUUAAUUGGGGCCAGGUAUGAAUGGAGUCACGGGGUUAUACUGUCUCUUAAUUAUUUUAUCUAAAUUACUAUGUAGGUGAAAAAGCCUAUAAAAAGAAAAAGGACGAGAAGACCCUUAGAGUUUUACUAAAUUGGAUUGAAAUUAAAUCUUAACAGUUUUGUUGGGGCAACAUAGGAGCAGUGGUGUAGUACGAAUCUCCUGAAAAUUACAAAUCGAUUAUUAGAAUUGAAUAAAUUACCUUAGGGAUAACAGCAUAAUUUUAUAAAUAAGUUUGUGACCUCGAUGUUGGACUAGGAAGCUGAGGGGCUAGCCGCCUUUCAGGUAAGUUCUGUUCGAACUAUAAAUUCC